Kogia breviceps (pygmy sperm whale) is the source of this 1012-nucleotide non-coding RNA. The record is from RefSeq and is a predicted model, not a curated record. NCBI's taxonomy places the organism in Eukaryota, Metazoa, Chordata, Mammalia, Artiodactyla, Physeteridae.
UAAAGAAAAUAAAGAAAGAGAAUAAAUAAAUAUUUUUAAAAAUAUAUAAAAAAUAUCAACCUUUCCAGAAGAGGCUGUGCCCGCAAAAGGCUCAGGCCUGGAGGGACAUGGGGAUCUGAGUGAGUAGUUAGCAGGGAGCUCCAGGCUGGCACUUCCUUACUUCUCCAGCCCCCUAAACUCUCGAGCAUAGCCUGUCCUUCCUCCCUGAGGCCCUGACCGGACAUAUGAGGAAACCAGUACCUAAUAACAUAAUUCAGACAAGUAAGAAGUGGAUUUCUUUAGAGAGAUACACAUUCCAUAGACAAAAUGCGGUCCAUCUCAAAAGAACUGGAAUGGCAGCUGAGCCACCCCAGCAGCUGACCAAGGGCGUAUCGAUUUGUGCUGGGCUCCUUGCGAAUAUCUGAGCCAGUCACACAUGAAGAUAAAGGCUCCAAAGAACUCACCCGUGGUGAUCGGUCCUGCUUAAACCUCCCACGGCCAAGUCCACAAGUCUCCCCAUUGGUCCACCAACUCUUGCCCUUUCCAACCCAAGCCUGACCAUCACUUGCGGAGAGUAAUCAUGGUUCAGAACACAGGAUCUGCAGUCAGGCAGCCCGGCUUCCAGCCCAAGGAUUACUGAGUCAAAGGGUAUUUACAUAUUUACUGUUGAGAGAUGCUGCCAAACUGCCUUCCAAAAAGUUGGACCCAUUUAUACCCCCACCAGCAGUAUAAGACAGUGCCCGUUCCCAUACUUUCUCCAUCUUUACCAAUCUGUUUCAAAACAAAACACCCUCUACUACCAUGCUUGCCUUUCUUGCACUAGCAUCUUUUCAUCUUCUUUUGGCAAAUUGAAUUUCUGUAAAUUGCCUGGCCAUAUCCUUUGUCCAGUUUUAAAAACUUGAGUUGUCAUCUUUUUGUUAUUUAUUUGUAGUAGCUUAUUACACAUUUGGAUAUCAACCUCUGUUAUAAACGUUAAAGUAUUACUUCAACUUAAUCAGUGGUCACUGGACUUUGCUUAUGGUGUCUAUUUGCC